Pelobates cultripes (western spadefoot toad) is the source of this 211-nucleotide non-coding RNA. Lineage: Eukaryota; Metazoa; Chordata; Amphibia; Anura; Pelobatidae. The record is from the annotation of a GenBank genome assembly.
CUCAGUGGUGUUUGUAUACUUACUGUUCUGAUUUUUAAUUGCUGAAUCUUUUGACUCUUAUUAUUGUGUAAUGAUCUCCUAUUUGCCCCCACAUUCUGGCUAUUAAGUAAUGAGAGAAGACUUGAAAAGAUGCAUGUGUUUACAGGACAGCUAUAACAAUAUACACUAUGUGGCCAAAAGUAUAGAGUGUACAGACACAUGACAAAGACAC